RNAcentral lists this ribosomal RNA (253 nucleotides) under uncultured bacterium. Its description in RNAcentral is "partial 16S ribosomal RNA". It matches the Rfam family "Bacterial small subunit ribosomal RNA", at positions 524 to 776 of the family's 1533-position model. The record is from RNAcentral.
GACGUAGGGGGCUAGCGUUGUUCGGAAUUACUGGGCGUAAAGCGCGCGUAGGCGGAUCAGUCAGUUAGUGGUGAAAGCCCAGGGCUCAACCCUGGAACUGCCUUUAAUACUGCUGGUCUGGAGGUCGAGAGAGGUGAGUGGAAUUCCGAGUGUAGAGGUGAAAUUCGUAGAUAUUCGGAGGAACACCAGUGGCGAAGGCGGCUCACUGGCUCGAUACUGACGCUGAGGUGCGAAAGCGUGGGGAGCAAACAGG